This is a transfer RNA of 111 nucleotides. It matches the Rfam family "tRNA". From Rfam's summary of the family: Transfer RNA (tRNA) molecules are approximately 80 nucleotides in length. The record is from Rfam.
GCCUGAUUAGCAUAGUGGCUAAUGCGUUGCACUUGUAUCGACCGCCCGUCCUUUGUGAUGGGGUUCUUCGACGACAUGCAAAGAUCGCAGGUUCGAUUCCUGCAUUAGGCA